CAGCCGCCGCGGUAAUACAGAGGGUGCGAGCGUUAAUCGGAUUUACUGGGCGUAAAGCGUGCGUAGGCGGCUUUUUAAGUCGGAUGUGAAAUCCCUGAGCUUAACUUAGGAAUUGCAUUCGAUACUGGGAAGCUAGAGUAUGGGAGAGGAUGGUAGAAUUCCAGGUGUAGCGGUGAAAUGCGUAGAGAUCUGGAGGAAUACCGAUGGCGAAGGCAGCCAUCUGGCCUAACACUGACGCUGAGGUACGAAAGCAUGGGGAGCAAACAGGAUUAGAUACCCGCGUAGUCCCUGUCUCUUAUAC
Molecule: ribosomal RNA, 301 nt
Filed under: uncultured bacterium
Lineage: Bacteria
Description: partial 16S ribosomal RNA
Rfam family: Bacterial small subunit ribosomal RNA
Source: RNAcentral